AAUCAACGCUGGCGGCGUGCCUAACACAUGCAAGUCGAACGCGAAAGUCCCGCAAGGGAUUAGUAGAGUGGCAAACGGGUGAGUAACACGUGGGUGACCUGCCUUCGAGUGGGGGAUAACGUCCCGAAAGGGACGCUAAUACCGCAUAACAUCCUGCCUUUGAAGAGGUGGAGAUCAAAGCUGGGGACCGCAAGGCCUGGCGCUGGAAGAGGGGCCCGCGUCUGAUUAGCUAGUGGUGAGGUAACGGCUCACCAAGGCAACGAUCAGUAUCCGGCCUGAGAGGGCGGACGGACACACUGGGACUGAGACACGGCCCAGACUCCUACGGGAGGCAGCAGUGGGGAAUUGUUCGCAAUGGGCGCAAGCCUGACGACGCAACGCCGCGUGGAGGAUGAAGACC
Molecule: ribosomal RNA, 400 nt
Filed under: uncultured bacterium
Lineage: Bacteria
Description: bacterial SSU rRNA
Rfam family: Bacterial small subunit ribosomal RNA
Source: RNAcentral